GGGGUGUGCUCAGAGCAGGGGGCCUGAAGAAAUGGCUUGUCUGUUUAUAACACACCCGACAGGAAUCUGGGUUCACUGUGACGAGGGGCACAAAAUGUGUGGCCUUCCUAUGAGCAGAAACCUGACACGU
RNAcentral lists this small nucleolar RNA (130 nucleotides) under Cervus elaphus hippelaphus. Its description in RNAcentral is "Small nucleolar RNA SNORA11". It matches the Rfam family "Small nucleolar RNA SNORA11". Rfam says of the family: U107 (SNORA11) is a member of the H/ACA class of snoRNAs that guide the sites of modification of uridines to pseudouridines. This snoRNA was identified by RT-PCR from blood cells and its expression confirmed by Northern blot analysis. Lineage: Eukaryota; Metazoa; Chordata; Mammalia; Artiodactyla; Cervidae. The record is from Rfam by way of RNAcentral. RNAcentral also lists the same sequence under 1 other name.